GUGCUUGCUUCAACAGCACAUAUACUAAAACUGGAACAAUAUCGAGAAGAUUAGCAUGGCCCCUACACAAAAAAGACACAAAUUCAGGAAGCGUUUCAUAUUUAA
Molecule: small nuclear RNA, 105 nt
Filed under: Procavia capensis (Cape rock hyrax)
Lineage: Eukaryota; Metazoa; Chordata; Mammalia; Hyracoidea; Procaviidae
Source: RNAcentral